CAGUUCCUUAAAACAUUAAAAAUAGAGCUACCAUAUGACUUGAUAAUUACAAGUCAAGAACCCCAAAGAUAUGCUCACCCAAAAACUUGUAUAUGAUUGUUCAUGAUAGUAGCAUUAUUCACAAUAGCCAAUGGAUAUUAUUCAACUAUAAAAAAGGAGGGAAAUCCUACCAUUUGCACAAUAUUUCAUAGAAUCUAGGGGGGCCAGUUAGAGUACUGAACUCUCUGAUCUCACGUUGGCACCUUGCAUAGGUUCCUGUCUUGGUGGGAAAGGCCAUGGAACAAGAAGGAACAGACAUGGGUUUGAUUCCUGCUGGCAGGUGAAUAAAUAUGUGAAAAACUUCCUGAGAGGGCUCUACAUCUCACAAUGGAAAAUGCUUUCAGAACUUCACGUCUGUGUAGAUGCAUCACCAGAAGAUUGGAGCUCAUAUGCCUAAAUUUGAGGAUCAUAAAGGUAAUAUGACUUGCCCAAGGUCACAGAGCUCAUCUGUGGUAGGCCCAAGAUUUUUGUAGUUCAGAGCCAAUGUUCUUACCACUGCUGCCUGCAAACUGAGUGAAAGAAGACAUUCAGAAGGUGGCCCAUAUGCAAAUUUCAUCUUCCCAGGUCAUUCUAACUGACUGUGAUAUUUCCCAGUGUUAAUAAUUUUAGCUCUUAUUCUCUGUACAACACAUAAUUUUGUGGUCUUUUCCUGUCUCACAUAAUUGUUGCAUACCAAGAUUUAUAAACUCCAUCCUUUAAGGAGUGGGAGCCAGGUUCUCUACCAUUUUGUAUUCCCACUACCACUGUACCUAGCAACAUAUGUGCAUGUAAAAGGCAUCAAUAAGUAUUCAUAAAUUUGUCAACAUUAGUCCUAUUGUGAAUUUAUUAUAGCAAGUCAAAGAUAGAUAAAGGCAUAGACAAAUCCCACAAUGAAGCAUUAAAGCUAAAAAAGGACAUUCCCUUCAUCAACUUUUUCAAGUUGCCUUUUUAAAUAAUGCAGAUCAAUUAAUCCACAACUUCACGUUUUUUUCUUAGCCAGACAGCUGACUGGUAUUGUGGUCACAGAACAUAUUAAAGCCAACUGGCCUACUCCAUGAUGAAGUGUCACGGUUUAAUCUGGCUGCAGAUAAGAAACACCUGGGGAGCUUUUUAACUGUAUACAUGCUUGUGCUCCUUUCCCAAUUAUUCUGACUUAAUUGUUUGUGGGGUGGGGGAACCUCAUCUUAGUAUGAUUUUAAAACUCUCUAAUUGAUUUUAAUGUGCUGCCUGGUUUGAGAACCACUAGCCAAACUGAAAGAACAUUCCAGAAAAAAUAAAGAUCUGUGUUUUUUCAUUGUCUAGUUCUUUGGGACAGCAAGCAAAGUUGAUGGGGAAGGAAAAUAACAAGGAAAGUAGCAGGACUAUGCAACUUGGCAUGUGAUUGGAAUGUGGCAAACUAUUAAAAAAUAUUUGUAAACCUCAAAAAUUUUGUGCACCUAUUGACAAAGUGUUUUAAACAACUGUUUCUCCUCUAAUGUUGAAGUUUAAAGGCCCCCAACAACUUUGAAAAUAUGGGAGUAUUUGGUGAAGCAUUCCAAAUAAAAUGACCCUCAGCUCUGGAAUUUGCUCCUUCUAGCAGGCUGUUCUCUUUAGCAGUCAGCCAAACCAAAAAUUUAGCAGUUUUUGGAAUAUGGUGCAAAAUAGAUUCUUUUUAAACCUGAGAGUCACUGAAGAUUUAUUUUACUGGAAAGAUACAACUUUUAACAAUAAAGUGAUUAUUGCUACUAUGUAAAAUCAAAGAACUGGAAGAGUGACUCUGAAAUUCAAAGCAUCCAUCUUUCCUUAUUCUACUAAUGAAGAAAGAGUGGCUCAAGGGAUGAAAUGACUUUAAGUCACACAGUCUGAUGGCAGGCCCUGGGCACAUCCUGAUCUCCUGACUCACAGGCCAGUUCUCAUGUUUGUCCUGUCACAGCCAGAGAGUCCUCUGGGAAUGGCAUGGAUGAUUUCUUCUGUGAAUCUAAAUUAGUUAUUAAUAAGUGCAAUGAUCUUACAAAUACUUAUGUAUGUACUGUUUCUGUAAUGUAGCAAAUAGCAUGUAAAUAACACGGUAAUUUUUGGAGUGCA
Manis pentadactyla (Chinese pangolin) is the source of this 2082-nucleotide long non-coding RNA. RefSeq lists it as uncharacterized. The record is from RefSeq and is a predicted model, not a curated record. The transcript is spliced from 3 exons. Lineage: Eukaryota; Metazoa; Chordata; Mammalia; Pholidota; Manidae.